RNAcentral lists this ribosomal RNA (115 nucleotides) under Serratia marcescens. Lineage: Bacteria; Pseudomonadati; Pseudomonadota; Gammaproteobacteria; Enterobacterales; Yersiniaceae. RNAcentral also lists the same sequence under 1 other name. The record is from RNAcentral.
CCUGGCGGCAAUAGCGCGGUGGUCCCACCUGACCCAUGCCGAACUCAGAAGUGAAACGCCGUAGCGCCGAUGGUAGUGUGGGGUCUCCCCAUGCGAGAGUAGGACACUGCCAGGC